RNAcentral lists this transfer-messenger RNA (349 nucleotides) under Polyangiaceae. RNAcentral describes it as "CAITIQ01 sp013361525 Standard tmRNA". It matches the Rfam family "transfer-messenger RNA". Rfam says of the family: Bacterial tmRNA, also known as 10Sa RNA or SsrA, is named for its dual tRNA and mRNA-like properties. Its role is to liberate the mRNA from a stalled ribosome. Lineage: Bacteria; Pseudomonadati; Myxococcota; Polyangiales. RNAcentral also lists the same sequence under 1 other name. The record is from RNAcentral.
GGGGGCGACCGGCUUCGACGUGGGGACGGAGAAUGCAUCUGCGCGUGGCGGCUCCUGCUCCGCCUUACAAAGCGGGACGUUAUAAGUGCGAACGACAACGACACCAUUGCUCUCGCGGCUUAAUCACCGCUAGCAACGUCCAACGGCCAGAUCGUCCUGGUAGCCAGCGGGCGCCAAUCACUAGGGCUGGGUCGCGCGAGGGAGCCCUCGAUAGCGCGGCUGAGAUUGCGAGGGAUAGGUCGCGGCCGAAUCCGCGAGCCCAGUUGCUGGGGACGCAGCAACUACGCGCGUGAACGAAGGUGCAUUUGAAGCCUCGCGGACGCGGGUUCGAUUCCCGCCGCCUCCACCA